Molecule: ribosomal RNA, 1344 nt
Filed under: uncultured bacterium
Lineage: Bacteria
Description: bacterial SSU rRNA
Rfam family: Bacterial small subunit ribosomal RNA
Source: RNAcentral
GACGAACGCUGGCGGCGUGCUUAACACAUGCAAGUCGAACGAUGAUGCCCAGCUUGCUGGGCGGAUUAGUGGCGAACGGGUGAGUAAUACGUGAGUAACCUGCCCUUGACUCUGGGAUAAGCCUGGGAAACUGGGUCUAAUACUGGAUACUACCUCUUACCGCAUGGUGGGUGGUGGAAAGGGUUUUACUGGUUUUGGAUGGGCUCACGGCCUAUCAGCUUGUUGGUGGGGUAAUGGCUCACCAAGGCGACGACGGGUAGCCGGCCUGAGAGGGUGACCGGCCACACUGGGACUGAGACACGGCCCAGACUCCUACGGGAGGCAGCAGUGGGGAAUAUUGCACAAUGGGCGGAAGCCUGAUGCAGCGACGCCGCGUGAGGGAUGACGGCCUUCGGGUUGUAAACCUCUUUCAGUAGGGAAGAAGCGAGAGUGACGGUACCUGCAGAAGAAGCGCCGGCUAACUACGUGCCAGCAGCCGCGGUAAUACGUAGGGCGCAAGCGUUGUCCGGAAUUAUUGGGCGUAAAGGGCUCGUAGGCGGUUUGUCGCGUCUGCUGUGAAAGCCCGGGGCUCAACCCCGGGUCUGCAGUGGGUACGGGCAGACUAGAGUGCAGUAGGGGAGACUGGAAUUCCUGGUGUAGCGGUGAAAUGCGCAGAUAUCAGGAGGAACACCGAUGGUGAAGGCAGGUCUCUGGGCUGUUACUGACGCUGAGGAGCGAAAGCAUGGGGAGCGAACUGGAUUAGAUACCCUGGUAGUCCAUGCCGUAAACGUUGGGCACUAGGUGUGGGGGACAUUCCACGUUUUCCGCGCCGUAGCUAACGCAUUAAGUGCCCCGCCUGGGGAGUACGGCCGCAAGGCUAAAACUCAAAGGAAUUGACGGGGGCCCGCACAAGCGGCGGAGCAUGCGGAUUAAUUCGAUGCAACGCGAAGAACCUUACCAAGGCUUGACAUUCACCGGACCGCCCCAGAGAUGGGGUUUCCCUUCGGGGUUGGUGGACAGGUGGUGCAUGGUUGUCGUCAGCUCGUGUCGUGAGAUGUUGGGUUAAGUCCCGCAACGAGCGCAACCCUCGUUCUAUGUUGCCAGCGCGUGAUGGUGGGGACUCAUAGGAGACUGCCGGGGUCAACUCGGAGGAAGGUGGGGAUGACGUCAAAUCAUCAUGCCCCUUAUGUCUUGGGCUUCACGCAUGCUACAAUGGCCGGUACAAAGGGUUGCGAUACUGUGAGGUGGAGCUAAUCCCAAAAAGCCGGUCUCAGUUCGGAUUGAGGUCUGCAACUCGACCUCAUGAAGUCGGAGUCGCUAGUAAUCGCAGAUCAGCAACGCUGCGGUGAAUACGUUCCCGGGCCU